RNAcentral lists this ribosomal RNA (974 nucleotides) under Parapaucispora pseudoarmatispora. Its description in RNAcentral is "SSU rRNA". It matches the Rfam family "Eukaryotic small subunit ribosomal RNA", at positions 104 to 1086 of the family's 1831-position model. Lineage: Eukaryota; Fungi; Ascomycota; Dothideomycetes; Pleosporales; Lophiostomataceae. The record is from RNAcentral.
AAUCAGUUAUCGUUUAUUUGAUAGUACCUUACUACUUGGAUAACCGUGGUAAUUCUAGAGCUAAUACAUGCUAAAAACCCUAACUUCGGAAAGGGUGUAUUUAUUAGAUAAAAAACCAAUGCCCUCCGGGGCUCUUUGGUGAUUCAUGAUAACUUAACGGAUCGCAUGGCCUUGCGCCGGCGACGGUUCAUUCAAAUUUCUGCCCUAUCAACUUUCGAUGGUAAGGUAUUGGCUUACCAUGGUUUCAACGGGUAACGGGGAAUUAGGGUUCGAUUCCGGAGAGGGAGCCUGAGAAACGGCUACCACAUCCAAGGAAGGCAGCAGGCGCGCAAAUUACCCAAUCCCGACACGGGGAGGUAGUGACAAUAAAUACUGAUACAGGGCUCUUUUGGGUCUUGUAAUCGGAAUGAGUACAAUUUAAACCUCUUAACGAGGAACAAUUGGAGGGCAAGUCUGGUGCCAGCAGCCGCGGUAAUUCCAGCUCCAAUAGCGUAUAUUAAAGUUGUUGCAGUUAAAAAGCUCGUAGUUGAAUCUUGGGCCUGGCUGGCCGGUCCGCCUCACCGCGUGUACUGGUCUGGCCGGGCCUUUCCUUCUGGAGAACCUCAUGCCCUUCAGUGGGUGUGUUGGGGAACCAGGACUUUUACUUUGAAAAAAUUAGAGUGUUCAAAGCAGGCCUUUGCUCGAAUACGUUAGCAUGGAAUAAUAGAAUAGGACGUGCGGUCCUAUUUUGUUGGUUUCUAGGACCGCCGUAAUGAUUAAUAGGGAUAGUCGGGGGCAUCAGUAUUCAAUUGUCAGAGGUGAAAUUCUUGGAUUUAUUGAAGACUAACUACUGCGAAAGCAUUUGCCAAGGAUGUUUUCAUUAAUCAGUGAACGAAAGUUAGGGGAUCGAAGACGAUCAGAUACCGUCGUAGUCUUAACCGUAAACUAUGCCGACUAGGGAUCGGGCGAUGUUUCACUAUUGACUCGCUCGGCAC